This 167-nucleotide ribosomal RNA is filed under the name Onygenales sp. RNAcentral describes it as "partial large subunit ribosomal RNA". It matches the Rfam family "Eukaryotic large subunit ribosomal RNA", at positions 99 to 261 of the family's 3401-position model. Lineage: Eukaryota; Fungi; Ascomycota; Eurotiomycetes; Onygenales. The record is from RNAcentral.
CGGCAAGAGCUCAAAUUUGAAAUCUGGCACCGCUAGGUGUCCGAGUUGUAAUUUGUAGAGGAUGCUUCGGGAGAGGCUGCGGUGUAAGUUCCUUGGAACAGGACGUCAUAGAGGGUGAGAAUCCCGUCUGGCGCCGCCGGCCCUCGCCCGUGUGAAGCUCCUUCGAC